GCCGCAAGAGUGCCGGGGCGAAAUCUUCGUCACGAGGCUACGGUGUCAGUAGGGUUGGGAGUGGGAGCCUCCCAUACGGGUUGAAGCAUGACCGGAAGGACAUGUGGACAGUAUGGGAGGGAGAAUGUUGGCAUGAGUAGCGAGAGGUGGGUGAGAAUCCCACAGGCCGUAAACCCAAGGUUUCCAGGGGAAGGGUCGUCCGCCCUGGGUUAGUCGGGACCUAAGCUGUGGCCGAAAGGCGUAGUUGAUGGAAAAAUGGUUGAUAUUCCUGUAUUACCGAUACACGUUUGAGAGAAGGGAUGACAAAGUAGGAUAAGCUAAGCACACUGUUGGUUAUGUGUGUCACAUCAUUGAGGCAGUUAAAGUAGGCAAAUACGCUUUGAUAAUGCUGGGAUGUGAGGGGGAUAGAAAUUUAGUAGAGAAGUAGCUGAUUUCACACUGUCAAUAAAAGUCUCUAUCGAGGUUAAAGGUACCCGUACCGCAAACCGACACAGGUGGGUGAGGAGAGUAUCCUAAGGCCAGCGAGAGAACUGUUGUUAAGGAACUCGGCAAAAUGACCCCGUAACUUAGGGAUAAGGGGUGCCACCAUCAGGUGGCCGCAGAGAAUAGGCCCAAGCGACUGUUUACCAAAAACAUAGGUUUCUGCUAAGUCGCAAGACGAUGUAUAGGAGCUGACGCCUGCCCGGUGCUGGAAGGUUAAGGGGAUCUGUUAGAGCAAUCGAAGCAGUGAACUUAAGCC
RNAcentral lists this ribosomal RNA (739 nucleotides) under Clostridioides difficile. Its description in RNAcentral is "bacterial LSU rRNA". It matches the Rfam family "Bacterial large subunit ribosomal RNA", at positions 1163 to 1919 of the family's 2925-position model. Lineage: Bacteria; Bacillati; Bacillota; Clostridia; Peptostreptococcales; Peptostreptococcaceae. The record is from RNAcentral.